Molecule: ribosomal RNA, 371 nt
Filed under: Asteriomyzostomum monroeae
Lineage: Eukaryota; Metazoa; Annelida; Myzostomida; Asteriomyzostomidae
Description: partial 16S ribosomal RNA
Rfam family: Bacterial large subunit ribosomal RNA
Source: RNAcentral
AUUAAAUAGCUGCAUUUUGUACUAAGGUAGCGUAAUAAUUUGCCUUCUAAUUAAAGGAUAGAAUGAAUGGGUUAACGCAGAAAUAGCUGUCUCUACUCUACCAAUAAAACUUAAUCUAAAGGUGAAAAAGCCUUUAUAAAAUAAAAAGACAAAAAGACCCUAUCGAGCUUUUAUCUAAUGUAAUAAACAUAUAGAUUUUUGUUGGGGCAACAUGAAUUUAAUAUACCAAUUCAAAUAUAUACAAAUACCAACCAAUUUUAUUGAAAUUUUCUAAGUUACCGUAGGGAUAACAGACUUAUCUUUCUAAAGAGUCCUAAUCGAUAGAAAAGUUUGGCACCUCGAUGUUGGCUUAUAAUUUCUAAUUGGGGCAA